This 497-nucleotide ribosomal RNA is filed under the name uncultured bacterium. RNAcentral describes it as "partial 16S ribosomal RNA". It matches the Rfam family "Bacterial small subunit ribosomal RNA", at positions 28 to 507 of the family's 1533-position model. The record is from RNAcentral.
GAUGAACGCUGGCGGCGUGCCUAAUACAUGCAAGUCGAGCGGACGGACGCGAAGCUUGCUUCUCUGAUGUUAGCGGCGGACGGGUGAGUAACACGUGGAUCACCUACCUAUAAGACUGGGAUAUCUUCGGGAAACCGGAGCUAAUACCGGAUAAUAUUUUGAACCGCAUGGUUCAAAGGUGAAAGACGGUCUUGCUGUCACUUAUAGCUGGAUCCGCGCUGCAUUAGCUAGUUGGUAAGGUCACGGCUUACCAAGGCAACGAUGCAUAGCCGACCUGAGAGGGUGAUCGGCCACACUGGAACUGAGACACGGUCCAGACUCCUACGGGAGGCAGCAGUAGGGAAUCGGCGGCAAAGGGCGAAAGCCUGACGGAGCAACGGCGCGUGAGUGAUGAAGGCCUUCGGAUCGUAAAACUGUGUUAUUAGGGAAGAACAGAUGUGUAAGUAACUGUGCACAUCUUGACGGUAACUAAUCAGAAAGCCCCGGCUAACUACGUG